This 253-nucleotide ribosomal RNA is filed under the name uncultured bacterium. Its description in RNAcentral is "partial 16S ribosomal RNA". It matches the Rfam family "Bacterial small subunit ribosomal RNA", at positions 524 to 776 of the family's 1533-position model. The record is from RNAcentral.
GACAGAGGUGCCAAGCGUUAGGCGGAAUCACUGGGCUUAAAGCGUGUGUAGGCGGAAUUCUAAGUACCUUGUGAAAUCCCACGGCUCAACCGUGGAACUGCUGGGUAUACUGGUUUUCUUGAGCCACUUAGGGGCUGUCGGAACAAAUGGUGGAGCGGUGAAAUGCGUAGAUAUCAUUUGGAACGCCAACGGUGAAAACAGACAGCUGGGAGUGUGCUGACGCUGAGACACGAAAGCCAGGGGAGCGAACGGG